RNAcentral lists this long non-coding RNA (2169 nucleotides) under Panax ginseng (ginseng). RNAcentral describes it as "long non-coding RNA (PGIN_LNC013141)". The record is from RNAcentral. Lineage: Eukaryota; Viridiplantae; Streptophyta; Magnoliopsida; Apiales; Araliaceae.
AUCAUCAUUUAUAAUUUGAAGUUAGUACAAGUUCAAAAAAUUACAACAAUAAUAAAAUUAUCCAUUUUAUUAUAGCUUGAUCUUGUUCACUUCUUGUUGUGAUUUGAUAUGCUACAACCUGUAUUACGAAUAUGGUAAAUCAUUAAAAAAAUAAAUAUAUCAAGAUUUGGUAUGGAUAGUUAUUAAAAAAUUUUAAAAAAAAAACCUCUCUACCUAGGCCCAGCCUAAUUUCCUGAAAGAAUUUUUUGGCCUAGGCGAGGCGCCAGGGGGGCCUAGCGCCUAGGCGGGGCCUAGGCAGCUGCCUUUUAGAACACUUAAUUUAUCAGAAGGUCAUAGGAAGACGUGCGUGGCUUAUCGGUCCAGUUUCACUCUGUAACAAAGACAGUGAGGAUAAAUCACAAAGAGGUAACAAGGUCUCAAUUGAUGAAAAUGAGUGUUUAAAUUGGCUCAUCUCCCCAAAAAAAAUUUCUGUUUCCUACAUAUGUUCUGGAAGCAUGUCCAAUUUUUCAGCUGCACAGCUACAUGAGAUAGCAUUGGUCUUGAAGCUUCCAGACAGCAAAUUAUUUGGGUGGUGAGGAAAGAGAAAGAGAACGAUGAAGAACAGGAGAGGUGGUUGCCUGAAGGAUACAAAAAAAGGAUGGAGGACAAGGGUUUAAUAAUAAGAGGGUGGGCGCCCCAAGUUCUAAUCCUUGAUCAUGAAACGCUCCUGCGCCAAAGCAAUUACAAUUUGAAACCAUGUAAAAGCUCAUAUAUGCUGGAUUUCUAUGAUUUUUAAUAUAUUAUCUUGUUGAGAUAUCUCCAAUAGCCUAUAUCGCCUACUUCUUGUAUGAUUGAGGUAACCAUCGACUCAUCUUGAUAAUUAAUUAAUUUUAAUAAAUAAAUAAAUAAUAAUGCUUACCAACCAUUUUCAAACUUAUUUACUCAAAUUAUGUAUCACUUCACCUUUAUGGUCCAUAUCAAUAUUAUAUUUUUUCAGUUUCCCUUUCGGUUUGUUAUUUAGUUUUUUAUAUACACAUGUAUGUAUUUUUUAUUACAUGUAUUUCCAUUUAUUUAUCCUGUUUUAUUUUCUUCUUUUUAUCCUUUUAUUUCUUCUUCUAACCUUUUUCAACCUACCCAGCUCCGAUAAUAGGCGUUGAGUAGUUAAGUAUAUUUGCCCAUACACUUCGUAAAACUCAAAAUGCAGCAAGGAACACAUAAAAUACACCCCGCAAUAAUACGAGCAAUAAUUCAAAAGAGAAACAGGUAGAUAAUAGAUUCAUCCCACUUGCAGUUUUCCUCAUUGACAUACCAAAUAUACAAUACAUAUGUCUGAUAAAUAAUACAUGUGUGUUUGUGCGUGUAGAAAAAGAUAAAUAAACAUACAAAUUAUGCAACUUACAAUAAUUCAAGACAAAUCCACUACAGAUAAUUUGUCAGCAUCCACUCCUGCAAAAUUGCCAUUGAAAACACAGAUUUAUACAGCAAAACUUGGGUCAUAACUGUGCAAAUUGCGAGCAAAAGAACAGAAUUGUAAAACUUGAUUGGGAGAAAAAAACAAAUAUCAUACUUGCUUCAAUAAACAACUAAAACAAUUACAUGAAAUUCAGUGAAACUUUGAAUACAGGAAAGUUUAUUAAAACUAAGAAAAUAAUGGGUUGAUGACCGACACUUGUUGAUAUGAUUUAGAUCCCAAAAUAUUCAGAAAUCAAAUUAAACAAAUAUGGAAACAGGGGUGGUGACUGACCAUAUUUCACAGUAAAAAAAUAAGAAAAAGUGAAAUUUUUUUUUCAUUUCGGAGCAAAUUAAGUGAGAAAUUUACUUCAGAUUACGGCAAUUGGGAAUUUCCACAAAGAUUGGAAAUUUAUUUUCCUCCUAAUCGUCGGUCGGAGGUCUGUAAGAAUCAAGCUGCCAUCACAGAAGAAACAGUCAAUAAAAAAAAAAGGUUCAGCAGUUCCUUUAAUUUCUAGUCAAUCAAGCGUUGAUCUUCAAAAUUGCAGAGCUUCUGGAGCAAUCAAAGCGUUGAUUUUCAAAAAUCCAAGCUUUACUGGCUGAAGAGUUCGAUAUUCCCACCAGCCAAGACAAUUAGGCUCAACUGUUAUGGGUCCCUACUACACGAACCCACAUUCUCAAUAUGGAGUGUCCCGUGGCUCGGACACAGGGGAAUGCUUCAGAUGAUUUAUUAGAUUGACC